RNAcentral lists this ribosomal RNA (484 nucleotides) under uncultured bacterium. RNAcentral's name for it is "partial 16S ribosomal RNA". It matches the Rfam family "Bacterial small subunit ribosomal RNA", at positions 30 to 507 of the family's 1533-position model. The record is from RNAcentral.
AUUGAACGCUGGCGGCAGGCCUAACACAUGCAAGUCGAGCGGAUGAAGGGAGCUUGCUCCUGGAUUCAGCGGCGGACGGGUGAGUAAUGCCUAGGAAUCUGCCUGGUAGUGGGGGAUAACGUCCGGAAAUGGGCGCUAAUACCGCAUACGUCCUGAGGGAGAAAGUGGGGGAUCUUCGGACCUCACGUUAUCUGAUGAGCCUAGGUCGGAUUAGCUAGUUGGUGGGGUAAAGGCCUACCAAGGCGACGAUCCGUAACUGGUCUGAGAGGAUGAUCAGUCACACUAGAACUGAGACACGGUCCAAACUCCUACGGGAGGCAGCAGUGGGGAAUAUUGGACAAUGGGCGAAAGCCUGAUCCAGCCAUGCCGCGUGUGUGAAGAAAGUCUUCGGAUUGUAAAGCACUUUAAGUUGGGAGGAAGGGCAGUAAGUUAAUACCUUGCUGUUUUGACGUUACCAACAGAAUAAGCACCGGCUAACUUCGUG